Molecule: ribosomal RNA, 253 nt
Filed under: uncultured bacterium
Lineage: Bacteria
Description: partial 16S ribosomal RNA
Rfam family: Bacterial small subunit ribosomal RNA
Source: RNAcentral
UACGUAGGGGGCAAGCGUUAUCCGGAUUUACUGGGUGUAAAGGGUGCGUAGGUGGUGUGGCAAGUCAGAAGUGAAAACGCGGGGCUCAACCCUGCGACUGCUUUUGAAACUGUCAGACUGGAGUACAGGAGAGGUAAGCGGAAUUCCUAGUGUAGCGGUGAAAUGCGUAGAUAUUAGGAGGAACACCAGUGGCGAAGGCGGCUUACUGGACUGGUACUGACACUGAGGCACGAAAGCGUGGGGAGCAAACAGG